GUUUGAUCCUGGCUCAGGAUGAACGCUAGCUACAGGCUUAACACAUGCAAGUCGAGGGGUAGCAGGGUAGCAAUACCGCUGACGACCGGCGCACGGGUGAGUAACACGUAUCCAACCUACCAUUCACACGGGGAUAGCCUUUCGAAAGAAAGAUUAAUACCCGAUAGUAUAACGAUAAGGCAUCUUAUUGUUAUUAAGGAAUUUCGGUGUUUGAUGGGGAUGCGUUCCAUUAGAUUGUUGGUGAGGUAACGGCUCACCAAGUCUUCGAUGGAUAGGGGUUCUGAGAGGAAGGUCCCCCACAUUGGAACUGAGACACGGUCCAAACUCCUACGGGAGGCAGCAGUGAGGAAUAUUGGUCAAUGGACGAGAGUCUGAACCAGCCAAGUAGCGUGAAGGAUGAAGGCCCUAUGGGUCGUAAACUUCUUUUAUAGGGGAAUAAAGUGCGGAACGUGUUCCGCUUUGUAUGUACCCUACGAAUAAGGAUCGGCUAACUCCGUGCCAGCAGCCGCGGUAAUACGGAGGAUCCGAGCGUUAUCCGGAUUUAUUGGGUUUAAAGGGAGCGUAGGUGGAUAUAUAAGUCAGUUGUGAAAGUUUGCGGCUCAACCGUAAAAUUGCAGUUGAUACUGUAUGUCUUGAGUGUACAAGAGGUAGGCGGAAUUCGUGGUGUAG
RNAcentral lists this ribosomal RNA (669 nucleotides) under Bacteroides sp. CannelCatfish7. RNAcentral describes it as "bacterial SSU rRNA". It matches the Rfam family "Bacterial small subunit ribosomal RNA", at positions 11 to 678 of the family's 1533-position model. The record is from RNAcentral. Lineage: Bacteria; Pseudomonadati; Bacteroidota; Bacteroidia; Bacteroidales; Bacteroidaceae.